This 498-nucleotide ribosomal RNA is filed under the name uncultured bacterium. Its description in RNAcentral is "bacterial SSU rRNA". It matches the Rfam family "Bacterial small subunit ribosomal RNA", at positions 15 to 518 of the family's 1533-position model. The record is from RNAcentral.
GAUUAUGGCUCAGGAUGAACGCUGGCGGCGUGCCUAACACAUGCAAGUCGAGCGGAGAUAUAGAGAGAUUCUUCGGAUACUUCCUUAUCUUAGCGGCGGAUGGGUGAGUAACACGUGGGUAACCUGCCCUGCACAGGGGGAUAACAGCUGGAAACGGCUGUUAAUACCGCAUAUGCACACGCUGCCGCAUGGCAGAGGGUGGAAAGAUUUAUCGGUGCAGGAUGGGCCCGCGUCGGAUUAACUAGUUGGCAGGGUAACGGCCUACCAAGGUUAUGAUCCGUAGCCGACCUGAGAGGGUGACCGGCCACAUUGGGACUGAGACACGGCCCAAACUCCUACGGGAGGCAGCAGUGGGGGAUAUUGCACAAUGGGCGAAAGCCUGAAUGCAGCGACGCCGCGUGAAGGAAGAAGUAUUUCGGUAUGUAAACUUCUAUCAGCGGGGAAGAAGAUGACGGUACCCGACUAAGAAGCCCCGGCUAACUACGUGCCAGCAGCAGC